Molecule: small nuclear RNA, 102 nt
Organism: Suricata suricatta (meerkat)
Lineage: Eukaryota; Metazoa; Chordata; Mammalia; Carnivora; Herpestidae
Source: Ensembl
GUGCUCACUUUGGCAACACAUACACUAAAAUUGGAGCAAUACAGAGAAGCAUGGCCUGUGAGCAAGAAUGACACACAAAUUUGUGAAGCAUUCUAUAUUUUU